UAGGGAAUAUUGGACAAUGAGCGAAAGCUUGAUCCAGCCAUGCCGCGUGUGCGAUGACGGCCCUCGGGUUGUAAAGCACUUUAGGUAACGAGGAAAAGUUAGGUGUUAAUACCAUCUAACCUUGACGUUAAUUACAGAAUAAGCACCGGCUAAAUCCGUGCCAGCAGCCGCGGUAAUACGGAUGGUGCAAGCGUUAAUCGGAAUUACUGGGCGUAAAGCGCGCGUAGGUGGCAUAUUAAGUUAGAUGUGAAAUCCCGAGGCUUAACCUCGGAACUGCAUCUAAAACUAAUAAGCUAGAGUACUAGAGAGGAAAGUAGAAUUCUUAGUGUAGCGGUGGAAUGCGUAGAUAUUAAGAGGAAUACCAAUGGCGAAGGCAACUUUCUGGAUAGAUACUGACACUGAGGUGCGAAAGCGUGGGGAGCAAACAGG
RNAcentral lists this ribosomal RNA (429 nucleotides) under uncultured bacterium. RNAcentral describes it as "bacterial SSU rRNA". It matches the Rfam family "Bacterial small subunit ribosomal RNA", at positions 355 to 776 of the family's 1533-position model. The record is from RNAcentral.